AGGUUUCUUCUUUAGGAAAUUUCCUUAAGUCUCCCACUCUCCAACAACCUCUGCAAUUUAAACUCCAGUUCUCAAAUUUGAUGGCGUUAAUAAAGAGGUUCGUGGAGGACAAUAAGAGCUUGUGGCGGAUAUUAAAGAGGCAUUGGUGGAUUUUCUAAAUGAAGGUUAUGAGAGGGCAAAGGAGGCUUAGAUUAGGGUUGAUAAAUUGGAAGAGACGUUGGGGGAAAUUAACCAAAGAAUGAAGGUUUUAAGUGCCAUUAUGAGAACCAAGGGGUAAUUGAAAUAAUUUUUCUAUUUUUUUGUUAAUUUGUUUUCAAUUGUUGAUUUGAGGGAUUUUUGAAUAAUUUUAUACCAUUACUGUAGUUGAUUGUUAAUUUAAGUCUUGUUGCCAUAUUGUUAUUGCUUAAAAUUUGAUUUCCUCUACGAUUUCAAUCUGGUUAAAUUUGCAAUUCUUCUAAGUUGGUAUCUAUAAGCUUUGUAGGGUCAGCUGUCUUUAAACCAAGACACCUUCAUAUCAGGAAGCUACAUAAUUAAAAAUGUUGCCAAUUUCAUCAUUUUCGAUUGCAUCAACAGAGUCUUAUCUGGAUCUCUGCCUUUGCUUUGCUUGCCUACUUGUUUGUGCAUGGCCAAAGUCUGUCCACCUUUCUUGCUUUCUUUAUGCUUUUUUGUUUUGUUGUUAUGUUUGUUUUUUGGCUUGUUUUGUCUUUAGCACACUAAAAUUUCAAUGUAAUAACUCAAGCAUUCCAGAAAUGGCUAGGUGCAACUUUAUCAAACUCUGGAGAAUAUUUGAAUGUCAAGACAUUUCAUUUUCCAAUAAAUUUUGCUUUCAGAGCAUCCACUGCUGCCGCUCAGGUGAGCUUCAUUUGAAGCUGAAUGUCCAAUGAUAUAUGAUGCAACAUACUCUCUUGUCACAUAUGUUUGUUGAUGUAUGUAUUUUCAGACAUGUCACUUGUAGGUUUUAAUAAUGGACAAAAGUAACUUGGAGGUAGCAAUUGGCUCGUAUAAACGCUACAAGGUAAUACAUCUCUUAUCUUAGGCUUUCAAGUUACUAUUAAAGUUCCAUGUGGAAGAAAUAAGACCUUAAAUCCGACCAUUGCUUUAUUAAAAUAAUGGUAAAUGUAUUUGCAGAAAGAUGCAUUGGCUUUGAAGGAGCUUUUGGCAUCAAUGCUUAUAGAUUUUACAUCCCAUGGACUAGGAUUUUGCCAGGUAAAAUUUUCUUGAUCAAACUCCCAAUCAAGAGAGAGAGAAAAAUUAUUUAUUAUUAAAAUAUUUGAAAAUAUUUUUAUAUUAUUCAAUAUCUCCCAAUCAAGUUUUUUCUACUGUGUUGCAUAAACUUAAAGGCCUAACUCUUAGAUUACUAGCUAAUCAAAACUUCUUCUUCUUUUUCCACUUCCUUUGAUCUUCGGUCAUUGAGCCUUUGAGCAGCCAUCAUUGCUUAUAAAAUUUCUAGGUUCAGCGUCUUAAAAAAAUUCUCAAAAUUAAUCUAAUAAGUAAUGAUGAUUUUGGGAAAUUUUUAGGUUUGAAUUUAGCUCACACUUGGCCAAUGGAACCUUUUUUAAUUUAAAUAGGAUUGAUAAUUUGGGAAGUUGUAAGCCUAAGGACUUGGUUAAUUGGCUGGGAACAUAUGGCUCCCAUGUUGAUAGAUGUAGUUUUCACACGUCAAUGGGAUAAGAUUGAAGCAAAUUUGGAUCCACCAACAUUGGAUGUUGAGGAGCUGUAAGACCACUUUUUUAUCACGUGACAAGGAUUGUGAAACUAUAUCUAAAUAUUACCUCUUUUGUAGGUUCGGUUGUUACAUUCUUACAGUAUCAAAAUGCACUUUCAAAGGACUUACAGGUUAUUAUCUCAAGCUUAACAUUAUAUCAUUAGUUCAUACAUAGAACUUAAAGAGACUACCGUAAUGGCUCUUUGCAAAUGAAAUAAAAUAGACAUUUUGCAUGUGUCAGCAUUUUUGUCAUGAUUUUAAGGUCAGUAAUUGGUAACUUUUUGUACCGAAUGUUGCUUAUUCUUCUUGAUUUUAUGGUUAUACAUAACCCUAUGAGCAUUUGAUUAACUAAGUACAUACAUAGAAGUUGCUUAUGAAAGUUAGGAAAAUAGUUCUUGGCAUUAUUGGUAAUGGUAUUUGCAUAAAUUUUUCAUAGCUUGUAGAGUAUCGAACAUCUGUGCAAUUCCAAUAUGAUAAAAAUACAUGUCAGACUCAUAUUUUCUUUAAAUGUAUGAGUAGGAUUCUUUCAUUCUGCUAAAAGCAUGGGCAAGGCUCAUGCUUUUUACAAAAAGUAUGUUGAAUCUCAACCUUGCACAAACUAAUGCCUAAGCCAACCUUCAGUUAGCUUUUGCACUUGUGUUUUGGUUUUGGUUGAAGCAAUUUGUCCUUAGAAGUUUGAAGAAGUUUGAGAUUGUAGGAAGUCAUGCUUCUUCUUGUCUUGGCUAUGGAAGUCUUUUCUUAGCCUAGCAAUUGAGGGACAUAAACAGAAGUGGGGAUGAAAUGUUCCUGUUAAUAUUUACUUGGCUAGAACUUUGUCUGAUUAUGCAAGAAUUAUCAGAUCUUAAGCAUCUUGUUUUAAAUGCUCUUACAUGUUUUAUUUACAGCAAAUUAGUUGUCAUUUUUCAUAGUCAAUUAUUCAUGGAAUGAAAAAAAGAGAAAUGAUUAUAUGAAAAUGUACCCACCAAAUUUAUUUUACUUUUGUUGCUGUGAUUUUCAUCCUUCUUUUUCUUAAAUAAACAUUGUCCAUCAGAAUGAAGCAAUCUCAUAUUUUAACUUGCAGGGAAUCAAAUAUUCCUAACCACAUGCCAACAAACUAUUUUGGGAUUCUACUUAAAUACUUUGUGUAAGGAAAUUUGGAACAAAUGUGUAGACAUUAUUCAAACAAUUGUAAUUUUACUUAAUAAUUGUUUUGAUGAUCAAUAUUUGUUGUAAAUUUUGUAAAAUUUGCAUGGUUCAUUCUUUGUAGCUUG
RNAcentral lists this long non-coding RNA (2955 nucleotides) under Theobroma cacao (cacao). RNAcentral describes it as "long non-coding RNA (TCAC_LNC006262)". The record is from RNAcentral. Lineage: Eukaryota; Viridiplantae; Streptophyta; Magnoliopsida; Malvales; Malvaceae.